Molecule: transfer RNA, 72 nt
Filed under: Camelus bactrianus (Bactrian camel)
Lineage: Eukaryota; Metazoa; Chordata; Mammalia; Artiodactyla; Camelidae
Also listed under: 2 other names
Rfam family: tRNA
About the family: Transfer RNA (tRNA) molecules are approximately 80 nucleotides in length.
Source: Rfam by way of RNAcentral
GAGGGUAGAGCUCAGUGGUAGAGCAUGUGCUUAGCAUGCACGAGGUCCUGGAUUCAAUCCCCACCACCUCCC